Molecule: long non-coding RNA, 512 nt
Organism: Selaginella moellendorffii
Lineage: Eukaryota; Viridiplantae; Streptophyta; Lycopodiopsida; Selaginellales; Selaginellaceae
Exons: 2
Source: RefSeq, a predicted model, not a curated record
GACGCUGGCGGUGGUGUCCUGGGCCGCGAAGAUGACACCGAUCACGUUGUCGGCGAUCUGAUCGUCGGUCAGCGCCCAUUGUCUGCUUGCUUCUGCUGCCGCCUACGGUCCAAGAUGAUGCGGCUGACGAUGGAGCUCAAGCGCUUCCUGGCCUGGAAACAAGGACACGAACCAAAGCGGGAUCUUUAGACACGCAUCGCAAACCCGAAAACGAAAACCACACAAAAAAAAGAAAGGAAAAUGAAGAGGUGGAGCAAGCAAACAAACACAUUUGACGAUUCCCUACGCGAGUUCCACACGACUGCGACCAGUAAACCUCGAGAAAUGAAAACAAAAAAAGCGAGCACACCACACGGAAAACAAAGCGACGAACAAAGGUGUUCUUCAUGGACAUGUUGAGGCGGAGAAGAUAUUUCUCUCGCCAAUCGUGGGCCGACGCACGGAGAAUGGCACAAGCCACUCGUGAAGCCACACGACCAAAGCACAGUAUUUUUUAAAGUCCCACUCAAUCA